Molecule: transfer RNA, 70 nt
Filed under: Podarcis lilfordi (Lilford's wall lizard)
Lineage: Eukaryota; Metazoa; Chordata; Lepidosauria; Squamata; Lacertidae
Description: tRNA.Ile
Rfam family: tRNA
About the family: Transfer RNA (tRNA) molecules are approximately 80 nucleotides in length. Their secondary structure includes four short double-helical elements and three loops (D, anti-codon, and T loops).
Source: RNAcentral
GGAAAGCUCAGUUGGUUAGAGCGUGGUGCUGAUAAUGCCAAGAUUGCAGGUUGAAUCCCCGUUUGGGACA